This 448-nucleotide ribosomal RNA is filed under the name uncultured bacterium. RNAcentral describes it as "bacterial SSU rRNA". It matches the Rfam family "Bacterial small subunit ribosomal RNA", at positions 329 to 794 of the family's 1533-position model. The record is from RNAcentral.
GACCAGACUCCUACGGGAGGCAGCAGUGGGGAAUAUUGCACAAUGGGGGGAACCCUGAUGCAGCGACGCCGCGUGAGUGAAGAAGUAUUUCGGUAUGUAAAGCUCUAUCAGCAGGGAAGAAAAUGACGGUACCUGACUAAGAAGCCCCGGCUAACUACGUGCCAGCAGCCGCGGUAAUACGUAGGGGGCGAGCGUUAUCCGGAUUCACUGGGUGUAAAGGGAGCGUAGACGGCCAUGCAAGCCAGGGGUGAAAGCCCGGGGCCCAACCCCGGGACUGCCCUUGGAACUGUGCGGCUAGAGUGCGGGAGGGGCAGGCGGAAUUCCUGGUGUAGCGGUGAAAUGCGUAGAUAUCAGGAGGAACACCGGCGGCGAAGGCGGCCUGCUGGACCGCGACUGACGUUGAGGCUCGAAGGCGUGGGGAGCAAACAGGAUUAGAUACCCCAGUACU